RNAcentral lists this ribosomal RNA (451 nucleotides) under Spiophanes viriosus. RNAcentral's name for it is "SSU rRNA". It matches the Rfam family "Eukaryotic small subunit ribosomal RNA", at positions 63 to 508 of the family's 1831-position model. The record is from RNAcentral. Lineage: Eukaryota; Metazoa; Annelida; Polychaeta; Spionida; Spionidae.
GUACUUGCCUCUAACACGGCGAAACCGCGAAUGGCUCAUUAAAUCAGUUAUGGUUUUCUUCGAUCGUGCACAGUUACUUGGAUAACUGUAGUAAUUCUAGAGCUAAUACAUGCGUCCUAAGCUUCGACCUCCGGGAAGAAGCGCUUUUAUUAGACCAAGACCAAUCGGGGGAGACCCCGCUUCUCUGGUGACUCUGGAUAACUUUGCUGAUCGAAUGGCCCAGCGCCGUCGACGUAUCGUUUAAAUGUCUGCCCUAUCAAGUUUCGUAGGUAGUCGACUUGACUACCUAGCUUGUAACGGGUAACGGGGAAUUAGGGUUCGAUUCCGGAGAGGGAGCAUGAGACACGGCUACCACAUCCAAGGAAGGCAGCAGGCGCGCAAAUUACCCACUCCCGGCACGGGGAGGUAGUGACGAAAAAUAACAAUACGGGACUCUUUCGAGGCCCCGUAA